RNAcentral lists this ribosomal RNA (422 nucleotides) under uncultured Flavobacterium sp. Its description in RNAcentral is "bacterial SSU rRNA". It matches the Rfam family "Bacterial small subunit ribosomal RNA", at positions 353 to 772 of the family's 1533-position model. Lineage: Bacteria; Pseudomonadati; Bacteroidota; Flavobacteriia; Flavobacteriales; Flavobacteriaceae. The record is from RNAcentral.
AGUGAGGAAUAUUGGUCAAUGGGCGCAAGCCUGAACCAGCCAUGCCGCGUGCAGGAUGACGGUCCUAUGGAUUGUAAACUGCUUUUGUACGGGAAGAAACACUCCUACGUGUAGGAGCUUGACGGUACCGUAAGAAUAAGGAUCGGCUAACUCCGUGCCAGCAGCCGCGGUAAUACGGAGGAUCCAAGCGUUAUCCGGAAUCAUUGGGUUUAAAGGGUCCGUAGGCGGUCCUGUAAGUCAGUGGUGAAAGCCCAUCGCUCAACGAUGGAACGGCCAUUGAUACUGCAGGACUUGAAUUAUCAGGAAGCAACUAGAAUAUGUAGUGUAGCGGUGAAAUGCUUAGAGAUUACAUGGAAUACCAAUUGCGAAGGCAGGUUGCUACUGAUGGAUUGACGCUGAUGGACGAAAGCGUGGGUAGCGAA